GAUGAACGCUAGCGGCAGGCCUAAUACAUGCAAGUCGGACGGGAUCCAUUGAUAGCUUGCUAUCAAUGGUGAGAGUGGCGCACGGGUGCGUAACGCGUGAGCAACCUGCCUCCAUCAGGGGGAUAGCCUCUCGAAAGAGAGAUUAACACCGCAUAAUAUCAACAGUUCGCAUGUUCAGUUGAUUAAAUAUUUAUAGGAUGGAGAUGGGCUCGCGUGACAUUAGCUAGUUGGUAGGGUAACGGCUUACCAAGGCGACGAUGUCUAGGGGCUCUGAGAGGAGAAUCCCCCACACUGGUACUGAGACACGGACCAGACUCCUACGGGAGGCAGCAGUAAGGAAUAUUGGUCAAUGGGCGGAAGCCCGAACCAGCCAUGCCGCGUGCAGGAUGACUGCCCUAUGGGUUGUAAACUGCUUUUGUCCAGGAAUAAACCUAAAUACGAGUAUUUAGCUGAAUGUACUGGAAGAAUAAGGAUCGGCUAACUCCGUG
This 488-nucleotide ribosomal RNA is filed under the name uncultured bacterium. Its description in RNAcentral is "partial 16S ribosomal RNA". It matches the Rfam family "Bacterial small subunit ribosomal RNA", at positions 28 to 507 of the family's 1533-position model. The record is from RNAcentral.